GUCCAGGGCCGGACGCAGCCAGCCAUUCAGGAAGGCAGCGCUGGAGAGCGGGAGGCAGCCGGCGAGGAAGAUCACACACUUUGCUCUUUUUGUUGUGCCGGUGGCGCCGGGCUCUCGCUGCCUUCUUCUUUCGGGAGGUGACGGAAGGGGGAGAAAAAUACGGGAUAAUUCACGCCGGCGACGAAAUCACAGCGAAAUAGAAAAAAUAAAAAUCAGAAGAAAAUAAUUGCCAAAAAAAGGAAAAAGGAAAAGCGAGAGAGACAUCCAAACAGGUAGAUGAAACUCAAGAGAAAAGGUGUGGAUAAAUGAAACUAGCCCAUGAUGAACCUGUUUUCUCCGUGACCACAAUAUUAACCAGGAUGAAUGGCGGUGGCAGUGGGCCUGCAUCACAGGUUGCAGCAGAUGUUCUCAAUAUUUCUAUUAAAAUUUCCUUAUUUCCAUAUGCAAGAGGAGCCCCAGAGCUGCAUCCUUAUGGUAGCUACCAUGCCGUGAUGUAAGCUGCCAUUCACUGGGGAGCUUUGGCAAUAGAAUUGGCUAGAUCAGGAAGCCUAUGUCAACUAUGGAACAACAACUUGCAGCUCAUCUCUAUUGAUGAUACACUGCCUCUAGGACUGGGACAGAUAGCCACUGAGUACCUGCUUCAAAUCACCCUGCACGUUUUCUCUUUGGAAAGAUAAGCACUGGAGAACCAUCUCGUUACCUUCAGCAGAAAUGGAAACAAAUCAAGACAUUAAGAAUGCCGCAGUGGACAGCAGUUAUGCAAGGUUCAGCAGAGGAAGUUUUCAAGAUGGUGUGCCUCACUAGCCAGAAAUCAGAAAAGAUCGAAGCUAGCCUUUUCAUCUCAGCUGCUCCUUAAAUCAGUGCAACCCCUCCAAAUUAAUGUGAAUUGAAACUUGCAUUGCUUUUCAACUUAAUUGAAUACUUACUAUAUGUGAACCACUGCACAAAAUAGGGGAAGAAGAUGUGGGAGACAAAGAUGUGGAGCCUGUCUUCAAUAAAUUUACAGUUAGUUUCAGGGUACAUUGUUUUUCUUCUGCUGUUAAUUAGGUGUAUCCCCAAGACAAUAAAUACAUGAAUGGAAAAGUAUAUUCUGUGUUUUAAGUCUCUUUAAUAAAAAACAAAACAAAAUCCAAAAAAACUCCUAACAUGGCAACUCAGGACAUUUUAAUCCUUUUUUUUGUU
This 1182-nucleotide long non-coding RNA is filed under the name Homo sapiens (human). RNAcentral's name for it is "non-protein coding NR2F1-AS1:3". Lineage: Eukaryota; Metazoa; Chordata; Mammalia; Primates; Hominidae. The record is from RNAcentral.